Molecule: long non-coding RNA, 616 nt
Organism: Dromaius novaehollandiae (emu)
Lineage: Eukaryota; Metazoa; Chordata; Aves; Casuariiformes; Dromaiidae
Exons: 3
Source: RefSeq, a predicted model, not a curated record
AAUCACAGAGAAGAGGAAAGGUUGCAGGACCAUAAUGCAGGGAGUCACCAAAAGGAUUUUGCAACCGUAAAGACACUGAGUAACACUGGGACGAGAAAGGAUCUCAACAGGACCACACUGCAACCAUGGCCACAGGUGCUAACACUGGAUGAACACCUGUCCAAUCUACGCAAGAAGGAAAGGAAAUCAACGGAUAGCAUGUUUACUGAUGUUGUGUACACAACUCAACAGGGUGAUAAACAGAUGGAGAAAUGGAAAGAAAGUUAAAUUUAAGAUGAUAAAGAGGAGAGAGGAGACAAGAAAAUUGUCAUGACCCUUCAGGAACAGCUUCUGCAAGAGAUGGCAAGUUUUUUUUUUGAGGGAAAAAACUCAUUCCCUUUGUGCCUUGCAACCCUUCUCCAACAAUGUCUUUAUUGACGUAGCAACUUCUUACAGCACUUCGCAGGUGCAAGUUUGUCCUUUCACAUUCCACACUGCAAAGCAAUAAGUAAAAUGGGCCUAGUGUGAGACCCCAUAAACUCAUCCACCUACCCAAAGGAGUAAGGUCUUUCUGCAGUUUCACAGAAUAUUUUUUCCCUUGUUCUUCUGCUCCAACUUACUUAUAUCUUCUGCAAUG